Molecule: transfer RNA, 88 nt
Filed under: Xylaria digitata
Lineage: Eukaryota; Fungi; Ascomycota; Sordariomycetes; Xylariales; Xylariaceae
Description: tRNA-Pro
Rfam family: tRNA
About the family: Transfer RNA (tRNA) molecules are approximately 80 nucleotides in length. Their secondary structure includes four short double-helical elements and three loops (D, anti-codon, and T loops). Further hydrogen bonds mediate the characteristic L-shaped molecular structure. tRNAs have two regions of fundamental functional importance: the anti-codon, which is responsible for specific mRNA codon recognition, and the 3' end, to which the tRNAs corresponding amino acid is attached (by aminoacyl-tRNA synthetases). tRNAs cope with the degeneracy of the genetic code in two manners: having more than one tRNA (with a specific anti-codon) for a particular amino acid; and 'wobble' base-pairing, i.e. permitting non-standard base-pairing at the 3rd anti-codon position.
Source: RNAcentral
GGUCUGGUGGUCUAGUGGUAUGAUUCUCGCUUAGGGUACACCCGAAGCAAAUAUGCGAGAGGUCCCGGUUCAAUCCCCGGCCAGACCC